CCAGACUCCUACGGGAGGCAGCAGUGAGGAAUAUUGGUCAAUGGUCGGGAGACUGAACCAGCCAAGCCGCGUGAGGGAGGAAGGUACAGAGUAUCGUAAACCUCUUUUGUCGGAGAACAAAACCCGGGACGUGUCCCGGACUGCGUGUAUCCGAAGAAAAAGCAUCGGCUAACUCCGUGCCAGCAGCCGCGGUAAUACGGAGGAUGCGAGCGUUAUCCGGAUUUAUUGGGUUUAAAGGGUGCGCAGGCGGAAGCGGCAAGUCAGCGGUAAAAUUGCGGGGCUCAACCUCGCCGAGCCGUUGAAACUGCUCUUCUAGAGUGGGCGAGAAGUAUGCGGAAUGCGUGGUGUAGCGGUGAAAUGCAUAGAUAUCACGCAGAACUCCGAUUGCGAAGGCAGCAUACCGGCGCCCAACUGACGCCCAUGCACGAAAGCGUGGGUAUCGAACAGGAUUAGAUACCCUGGUA
Molecule: ribosomal RNA, 464 nt
Filed under: uncultured bacterium
Lineage: Bacteria
Description: bacterial SSU rRNA
Rfam family: Bacterial small subunit ribosomal RNA
Source: RNAcentral